AUAAAAUCUUAAAAAAAAAAAACAAUCAUUCAACAACAACAACAAAAUGGCACUUCUUGAGGGGUACUCUUGGUUAGCCCUUGGAGUUAAUUUUCUUUAAGGGUAAUAGCCCUCUCUAUGUUGAAGGUGUGGAUGAAAGAUCUUAUAGAGGGAUUUACUUUGAAAUGCCAACUAUUGAAACUAAAAUCAAAGCAUGCUGUAUUUUUUAACAAAAUUAAUAUCAGUCCUUCACUGGCCUCCUCUUAUUUAAGGGUGUGCUUUCCAGCAAUAGGAGAUAGCUCAGUCUCUCUUGUAGAAGAAAACCUCAUUCUUUUAAAAUUCCAUUCAUUUGAGCCCAUGAUAUGGACCAGUUGUAUUAUAAACCAUCUUGUUAUGCAUGUGUUUACAGGUUUACGUUCCUAACAAGAUUAUGGCUGAAUUAGGUAUGUUGGUAUUUUUUCUCCUUACAACCUAACCAAUGCUGAAUCCUACCUCACUUCAAGGUUCUAGAAACAUCAUCAAUGGUUUUGAUAGGAAACAUUUACAUUUUCUCAAUUUACCAGUUAGAAUUUACUGUUGUCCAGAGGUUUGUUUGUUUUUUUUUAAAUAGUUUUCUAAAGUAAUUUAAAUGUAAAGUAGAAUGAUAUGCAAUCCAUAAUAUAAUGCAGUGGGAGAACAGAGAGUACUGAAGUUUAUUUCCUGGGGAGACUAGUGAGAAAUGACUAGAUUGUAAGUCUUUCAACCAGAAAAUAAAGGAUUUCAGAAUGAUGAGGAAAGUUUGAAGGAAAUGAUAUAGGGUCCACAGAUACCUCACAUGGUACUAAAUGACUCAUAAAAUGCAGUAUUUUUUUACAUAAUAUGGGAAGGGUGCCAGUGCCUGCACAUCUUACACUGAGUGUGGGACAGUACUGGGAUCUCUAACAAUAUACAACAUUUGUGGCAUAAUAGCUAUAAUAAGACUCUUCAACUAUUUUACACAGCAAUAAUCCAGUCCUCUCUCAUCAGGAUAAACUAUGAGGACGAAUCCUUUCAAAAUCAGAAUUAGUUCCUUGGAAAAGAGUGAGGCCACAAUUACCCGUUAAGUAGGAGCAGCUGCAACAUGGGAUCGGCCUGGAGCGUGGUGGUGAAGUGUUUCUCCCAUGCAAUUAAAUGGAUUUUUUUUUAAUGCAAACUAAUAUUCUAUAAAAAGUCACUUGGAAGGAGAGUAGGUGUGGAAUUGCUGAGAUGAAAGGAACAGCCCUUUUGCUUUACCUGAGUUAAUAGUCCUGCUUUCCCAAAUGCUAUUUUGGUGAAAAUGGACAAUCAAGGGUCAUCCUUUCCCAUGAAGUGGGGCCCGAAAGGGACCCAGAGUAAUACAAAGGAAAGAUAAUCCUGGCUUACUUGUACACUCUGUGUCUUAUUUUGAACUGUGUCCCUAGCUGUGUUUUGUUAUUGUUGGUUUUCAAAAAGACAUGACGAGUCCACAGGAGCACUUCAAUUUAAAGCGGGAAGGUCUCACUUGUGUAGAAACAUAUCAAUAUGACCCACAGGACUUAGGCCAGCCAAUACCUCAUCCAGAGUGAGACAAAAAGGCAUGAGAACUUAGUUUUUUACCACAGAGAUGAUUAAAGGAUUGGGAAAAUAAGACCUUUAGGAAAUUUAAAGGACCUGACAGGAGGGGGCAGUCUCGGGGCAGGGGGGCAAUAUAAUAUCUUUGAAUCGUGUGUCUCAGGAGUUCUUUCAGAAACAAGAGAACGCCUUUACUGAAGAAACAACGUAAGAAAUUGGUUGUAAUACUAGAGCCUUGGAGAAUUUAGUCACACGGGACAGCAAGAGACUCUUGAGCUCCCACUCAGGCUGAUGGUUGCUACUGACUCCCCACUCGUCCCAUGAAAUCUUCCAGGGCUGAUUAGCCUCGUGUUUUCUCAACCUCAGACUAUCUCACCUCUCAGUCCCAACCUCUGAACCUUAAAUUAGAGCAAAUACCAAACUGCCUGGCCAAGACCACAGCCUCUCAGUCUCAGCAGAAUCAAGAAGCAAAAUCAGGAAGCAACAUGUCAUCUAAAGUGACAAGAGGCUCUUCAUAGAACAUACUGAUUCUACUCAUGAAUACACUAAUCUAUAAGAAGUUUGAUUGCCCCAAAUCCUUGUCAACACAUGGCAUUGUCAAUCUUUUUAAGAUUCAGAUCAGACAUCAGAUCAUUAUUCUCUUCAGGACAAGCAUUGCAGGCUCUCCAACUGGCACAUUCCAGGCUGGUCAUAACAUCUAUCACACUCUACCUUCCCGGUCAAUUUACCUGUCUGUUUUCUGUAAUAAAUAAUUAGCUCCUUGAGGUCAAAGACAAUAUUUGUUAUGCUUUGUUGGGUUCUUGGCCAACUUUUUCAUGCCCUGAACCCUUUUCCCCCAACAAAACAACUUUUGACAUUGCCCCUCGCUCCAGAUACAGCUCCAUCACCUCCCAACCUAUUGUUAUUAAACUUCUUAAAAUGAUUCCUGAACUCUUCUUCUUCGCCCUCCCAUUUAUUCUUCAACCCACAGCAACCCGGAUUUCUGCUUCUGAAAUAUUUUCUACUGAAACUAUUUUAAGACUCUCAUUGAAUGUAUUCCAGUGUGUUUAACUGGGAACAAUUUGUUUCUCACAUUUCUGGACUUUCUUGGGGGCUUUAUAAAUUGGUUCCUUGUUGGACUGUGAAGUCUUUAAGUGAAGGGAUCCUGUCUUAUAUUUGUUGUUGUAGAUACACACUGGGGAGUAUCUACAUGAGGAGAACAAACAGGUAGAGCAGCAGGACAAGAAACAGAGAGAUAAGAGAAAUCAAGAGAACAUGGAGUCCUAGAUUCCAAGGAGGAAUGUUCCAGGAGGGACUGGUAGACAUUCAUCUGUUUUCUCACUCACGCAGUCAUCCACACAACAAAUACCACUUGAGUGCUCACUCAUUGCCAGACACAGUGCUGGGUUCCAGGUUCACAAAAGCUUUUCUAUACCCUCUCUUGGAUGAUUAUCUCCUUCCAUAGCUCCAACUACAACUUAUUAUUUAAUCCCUGUCAAAUCAAUGUCCCUUUCCUAUUUUCUGACUCCCAGGUGCCUAUUUCCAACCAUCUAUCUGUUAUAUCUGGCUGUAUUUCUUUAGUCACUGGGACUCAUAAUAUAUGUAAAUACAUAACACACAUAAAUCUCAGGUCACCUGGGUGGCUGGGUUGGUUAAGUGUCUGC
Molecule: long non-coding RNA, 3170 nt
Organism: Mustela erminea (ermine)
Lineage: Eukaryota; Metazoa; Chordata; Mammalia; Carnivora; Mustelidae
Exons: 5
Source: RefSeq, a predicted model, not a curated record